Non-coding RNA from Haemorhous mexicanus (house finch), 447 nucleotides. NCBI's taxonomy places the organism in Eukaryota, Metazoa, Chordata, Aves, Passeriformes, Fringillidae. The record is from the annotation of a RefSeq genome assembly.
GUUCCCGCAGGGCUCCGGGCGGCCGUGACCCUGCUGGAGUGCGGGGGGGACCUCCAGCCCCCCGGGGGGUCCCUGCGCCUCCUCUGCCGAGGGGCUGGGUUCGAUUUUGGGAGAUUUGGGAUGUUCUGGAUCCGCCAGAGAGCCGGGCAGGGGCUGGAGUGGCUCGCAGGGAUACAUGAUGAUAGUUCCGGAACCUUCUACGCGCCAUCACUCAAGGGUCGGUUCACGAUCUCCAGGGACAACGGGCAGAGCUCGGUGACGCUGACCAUGACCGACCUCCGGGACGAGGAUUCCGGAUCCUAUUUCUGUGGGAAAUCUUCUAAUACUGGUGCUUAUGCUGCAUAUCGUAUUGAUGAUGGUGCCACCCCAAUCCCCGAAUCCCCCCCCGCCCCAGACCCCAGACCCUUCCCCCACACCCCCAGCCCACCCCCAGCCCAUGACCCUUGA